ACAGCUUUCAUCCACCUGCAACAUUCGUCUUCUGCAGGAGUAGUUUCUUGAUACCCAAGGCUUGAAGGAGAUGACAGUAGUGAUGAGUGCGCGAGUGUAAAUGCUGGUGGAGUUGGUGGAGCAGGUGGAGUUGGUGGAGCUGGUGGAGCUGGUGGAGCAGGUGGAGAUGGUGGAGGCAAAGGGGUAUAUGGCAAAUUUUGACAUGCAUGGUUCACAAGUGUAAAUUGGGAGAGACAAAGUGGACGAGGGACAAUAGAAGGAUUAGGCGCAAAUUGACUGUUUGAUCCUCCUAGGUGAAUUAUUACUAGGAGUAACAAAGUUGAAACCAUUCCUUGGAUCAUGUUCAUUUUGCUUAUGCUUCCUUCUUGUGUUU
RNAcentral lists this long non-coding RNA (373 nucleotides) under Capsicum annuum. Its description in RNAcentral is "long non-coding RNA (CANN_LNC009068)". The record is from RNAcentral. Lineage: Eukaryota; Viridiplantae; Streptophyta; Magnoliopsida; Solanales; Solanaceae.